GAUGAACGCUGGCGGCUUGCCUAAUACACGCAAGUCGGGCGAACUGACGAGAAGCUGUCUCUUCUGAUGUUAGCGGCGGACGGGUGAGUAACAUGUGGAUAACCUACCUAUAAGACUGGGAUAACUGCGGGAAACCGGAGCUAAUACCGGAGAAUUGUUUGAACCGCAUUGUUCAAAAGUUAAUGACGGUCUUGCUGUCACUUAUAGAAUGAACCGCGUUGCAUUAGCUAGUUGGUAAGGUAACGGCUUACCAAGGCAACGAUGCAUAGCCGACCUGAGAGGGGGAUCGGCCACACUGGAAAUGAGACACGGUCCAGACGCCUACGGGAGGCAGCCGUAGGGAAUCUUCCGCAAUGGGCGAAAGCCUGACGGAGCAACGCCGCGUGAGUGAUGAAGGUCUUCGGAUCGUAAAACUCUGUUAUUAGGGAAGACCAUAUGUGUAAGUAACUGUGCACAUCUUGACGGUACCUAAUCAGAAAGCCACGGCUAACUACGUG
Molecule: ribosomal RNA, 497 nt
Filed under: uncultured bacterium
Lineage: Bacteria
Description: partial 16S ribosomal RNA
Rfam family: Bacterial small subunit ribosomal RNA
Source: RNAcentral